GCAUGAAAGGUAUAUGCUGGUGACUACUAUCCCAAACAUAUCAAACUCCAAUAGCAGGAAAUCAUCAAUAUGCACUCAUGAGUUUGAACAUAUCACCACAUAAAAUAACGGAUACUCCGUGUCGAGGUGACAUUGUAACCGUGUCAGAUAACACACACAAUAUUAUGCCAGGGUUCAGAAUGCUUGCCUUCAAGAUUUGGGGAGGCAGGGUGCAUUCCAAAACUUGUGAUAGUUUUCUCCUCUCUCCAAAAAUCUUAUUUAAAAAUUUGAAUUAAUACAUAGGUUUAAAAACAGUACAAAAAAGUUGUCUGAAAAAUUUUCAAAUAAAUCUGAAAAUAAACUAGACAACAUUUGAGAGAGGUAGGAAAAAGAAUCAAUUCAUUUGGACUUACAUUUAAAAAGUUAUAGCCAGUCAAAGUUUAGUGAACUUUCUGUUUUUUAAAAUAAAACAAAAAAAGAAAAACGCUUCGAAUUAAACACGUCGAAGGCGUACUCGGGUGUUUACGUGUCCACUUAUCCAGCGUGGACUGGCGCGUGGGUCGCUGACAGUGGGUCCAGGGGGCCCACCGGUCAGGUUUGACCGGUCGUCCCUCCCUCCUCUUCCUUUGCCCGAGCGGAGGCGGGACUCCGGCGAUCUUCGCCGGCGAUUGGCGGCUCCUCGCGGGGCUCCGAGGGCGGGGAUGGAUCCGCCAGUCCAAGGCGGUCCUCCCGGUGGUCGCUAGGCAGGUGGGGACGGAGGGAGUCGCCGGCGGCGAGCUCCGCGGCGGAGGUAGCUUCGGGUGUAUUUAGGGGCAUGGGCUACGGUGGUUCCCGACCAUGUUUGGGAGGCUGGGCGGCUCCGCAGGAUCGAGAGGAGUAGAAUGGUGGCGCUGGAUGGGUGGGGGAGGCCCUGGUUGCGACGCAUGGCGCUGGGGCGUGGUGGCGGCCGAACCGGCCGGAGUCGGGUAAGACGGCUUCCCCCCGACGAUUACUGGCUGUGGGGGUGCUAUGGGGGUGGCCUGAGGUCGCCUGAGCGCUCGGAUGAGCUCGGGGGUCUCCUUUUAUAGCACAACAAGGUCGGUUCCGUGGCGGCCGGAGAUAAGCUCGGCGAACCGCCUCGUUGUAGCUUGCAGGGCAUCGUGGCGGCGACGGGCGCUAGCGGACGAGCUUGUGAAUGAGCUCAGUCUGCUCCCGAGGGCAGCUGGCGCGCUGGGGUGGUUCGGGCUGCGCUGUCCGGGGCAGGAGCCCACUGUGGUCGGCCGCUAGCCGUCGUGGCUGACCUGACGGCGGCGCUGUGCGGCCCUAGGGAUGAGCUGGCGUGUUCUGGUGAGUGGAUGAGGUCGGGGUGUGGCUCUACAGGCGAGCAAAGGCCAGGGGCGCGGGGCGAGCGAACGCGGUGGCUCGGGUGCACGCACGUGCAAAACACGCGCUCUGGCCGCGCCCAGAGCACGCCCACCAGGUGUUCGGCGAAAUGCCAGGGCUUGCUAGGAGGCUAGAGUGGAGCUGGGGUUUAACAGGAUUAGGUUAGGGUAGUCUAGAGGCUUAGUGGACAUGGUGGUUAGGCAAAGCAAGCAGGUCGAUUGUACAAACCAGAAACUAUGUCAAAACUGAUCAUGCCCAUAAGGUGUUUUACAAAAUGCCAAGGGCACUUAGGCAUUUCUUGGGGUGGCCAAACUCUCCAGGUUAGUGUCUCUUUAGGUGUAGGUGAUGGUGGCAAGGUCAUUUGGGCAAAACCAAAAACUUAGUAGUGCAAGUUUUGCAAAACUUCAGUUCUGGACAGAAGGUAAAUGGCAUCAUUGCAUGGACCAAGCAUACUCCAAUGGGUUCACUCUCUCGGACUUAAGGGUUUUGUAGGAAGGACUAUAGGUAGGAAAAAGAAUCAUGUGUAACAGAGCAAUGCAAAAUGGAGUUGAAGUAGAAAAGGCCAAACUGGUUCAGAGAGCAAAAGAGGAUGUUUUGCUCAAUUUUUUACAAAGAACAUUCAUGGGUUUUUGCAUAAAAAUGAAUUAUAUGCAUCUGCUACCAUCUCCAAAUACUUGGUAAAUUUUUUAAAGAAUUAUUUAAAGGGGUUGUAGUGCAAAGGUACCAACUUGACUAGUUUAGAAAACUUGGGGUAGGGCUCAAAAAUUUCAAUGAAUAAAAGAUAUUUUUGCAUCAAAGUGAUUCAAAAAUAUCACAUGACAUCCCCAAAUUUUGGUGAAAAUUUAGAUGCAUUUAUCAAAUGGUUGUAGUGCAAAGGAGGCUCCAAAACUUAUGAAAAAUCAUUUUAAAAGAAUAAAGCUCAGGAAAAAACAAUUAUGCAAAUGAAUCCACUGAUAAAGAAUUGUUUUAUUUGAGAGAGUAUACAAGUCCAAUAAUAUUUUUUUGAAAGUUCCCACUUGAGUUAAAACUUCACAAUAUCAAAGAAAAAGGAGUUCUGAAAUCAAAAGAAAAUCUAGAAAGCAAAAAUUUUAAACUCUUGGCAAAAUUUUAAUAAUCAAAACAUGGUUAAAUUUUUGGGGUGUUACAACACUACCCCCCUUAAGAAAAAAAAUCUCGCCCUCAAGAUUUCAUAAGAGUUGUUUUGAAAUUUGUACUCCUACUAUCACAAAAGUAACCAUCCUACUCCUGUAAUUAAAACGUAGCUACAGUGAGUGGCAAUAAGUGGCGUAAAACUACAGUGUGGCAUACUGGCGUUGCGUGGAAAAAUUUACGGUCAUUUUUCACUAUUGGUUACAGUAAAUUUAGAAUAAACUUCUAAAUUACUGAAAAUACGCUGGUCGUACCCGAGAGCACAGUGCUCUCUAUGGAUGACAGGUAGACCCGGGGCUAACUGUCGGUCUCUUCCUCUACAUCUGGCUCUCUCUUCUUCCUCUCUCCCGUGCGCUUUCCCGUGCUUUCUCCACCGGCGACGUCUAGCUCGUAGGGCAUCUAGGCCAUACUGCGGUAGUGCGCUUCGUGCUAGCUAUCGGCGCAGCAUGCACUCACCUCGCGGGACAGUGUGCUGUCGGCACAGCUCGCGGAUUCGCCUCCGAACACCGGCGAUCGAGCGACAAGCGGCGUCGAUGGACUUCACCCACUAUACACCGAUCUCGAGCUAUAAAACGACCGCGGUGCCCUUCUUCUUCCUCCACCUGACCUCGCUUCUUCUUCUCCUCCCUUCUCCUUCAUUUCUGUCUGCAGGAGCUCGAGACGAGGCUCUAAUGACGGAGGUGAUGCCGGACUGGUACGUGAUCCUGAUGUGCGGAGGGUUGGCGGCAUUGCUGGGGUUCUCUGUGCUCCUGUGCGUGAUCAUCCUCGAUGAUCGUCGUGAUGCGGCCGUGCGAGUGUUAGCUCUCCGCGGUGGCGGUGAUCACGAGGAUUAGGUGCGGUGUCAGGUGCUAACUGUUGUCAGGGUGCCGGAGGUAACCUGUACCCGAGUAAUUAUUCACAAAUCUCUCCCUCUGAGACUGUGGGGUGUUAGGGAGAUGAUUAGCUUGGUGCAAAAAUGUGCACGUGGAUUUGCACUUGGUCAAGUGGUUGGGGUUGUGAGUCUGAUGUUAUGGUGCUGCAUGAAAAUAAAAUAAAAAAUCUAUGUCGAGAAGAAAUAUAUGCUGCAACAGCUCAGGGAGAAAUCUCACUUCAGGAUUUACUGAGAGUGAAAACAGUUAAUAAAAUUUUACCAUAGUAAAAAUCACUCACAUAGAUUGAAACUAAAGAUUCAAUUCAUCGCACAAAUUUAGGAUACCACACACAAGUUGCAACACAUAAAUAACUGUAGGGACACUAAACACAGCAAUGACAUCUACAACGAUAAUGGUAAUUGGACAGGGUCCUGAGAAAAAGUCUCUGGAAUCGGGGCACAAUCUUCUUCUGUCGGGGGGAGUGGGUUGACCAGUCGAUGAAUGUGCCUUUCCUGGUUGGGCCUCAGUGGUCUGCCGAUGGCGAUUUGAGGAUUCAAAUCAGCAAGGCUCUGGAGAUAGCCCAUUACUCGCUGGGUCAAAUGCUCUUGAGCGAUGACAUACUAGGCAAGGUUGGCCAGUACUGGGUCUCUCUCGAUUUGUCCACCGGGAAAAGAUGUUACUUCUCUGGGUGCUGCACGACUCGGGAAAUAAUAAUACCCCCGUUUGCUGGCAUAGGGUACCGCGAAUCGAAGGCGUGUAAGCGCCUCAUACGCAGCGGCUUCUAUGGCCAUAUGCGGAGUCGGCAUAGAUUUCCCCACGAAGGAAGCUUCUGUGGGGUCUUGGUUUGGGUUUGCGGGAGGGACGUGCACCACUGCCCAAUAUUUCUAGGUGGAUGGGGUGAUCCUCGAUUUGAGCAACUCGUACUGGGGUGGAUGGAUAGCACUCAUGGUACUGCAGGUAAAGUCCCACAAGAUUUUAAUAAAGCUACCUGGAGUUGCAUCUGGAGUUCUCAGAUAAAUACUAGGGCUCGGCAUGGCAAUGGAAAUGGUUGUGCGAGUGGUGCUCAAGGUGUGGGGUACUUGGCAAGGUCACGAGGUGGCCUUUUAUAUAGCAUUGGGGCUGGGUUAUUUACCGCGGUGAAGGGUAACUAGUCUAUCGAGUCUGCUCCAUGGGGUCGGGGUCAAUGCUACAGAUACACAUAUCUCGUAAAAGUGAUGUAUUACUGUGGGAGUCGUUGGUGUGGUUUUGGUAGUUGUGCCCGGAAAAAAAAUGCAACCGCAUGCUACAUAUUUAUGCCAGGCUACUAUUAAAACAAAGGCACACAAGCAGGCUGCGAUUAUUCAAGGCGAUGCAAGAUUACAUAAUUACAGGGCGUGGGCAUACUGAGACUCGGUACUACUCGAGUGACUUAGUCUACCUCGUUUAUAUCUAAGCGAGCCUGCCUUGUGGAUGUCGAGGCUUCUCCACGGGUUUCGCCGUCGGGAUUAGCGGGAGGGGGUUGAGGGGCUGCCAGGUCGAGGUAGCGAUGGUGACCAUCCCGGGGAUUGUUGGCCACAAUCCCACUAGAGUGUGUUCCCAAAAGGCGAUGAAGCACUUCUGGGGACACCAAAGUAUUGUGGUCGAUGGCUGGGGCAGACCUCAAGGACUCGAUCGGGUGUCCGAACAACACGACUGGGUUGUCGGCGUCGGCCUCAUCUUCUCCUCUUGCCGGGGCUCGGCGGACCAGCUCUCCACGAGCUGCGAUCAGAUCAAGGGUGAUUUGAUCGAACAGUUCCUCUAGUGCACCUACAUAGCGCACCAGAUGCAACAAUGCAGGAUCCGUCUCGUGAUAUCCGUUGACAAUCUGGGGUGGCCUACCACACCCGUCACGGCUGCGGUAGUAGUAGAACGAGCGACAGUUAACUCUGGGCGACAAGUGCUGAAGUUGUACUAUAGCCUCUCGAGCAGCUAGUUGGAUGGCUUGUGGCUCAAAGGAAGGUGUCCUUCCGGUGAACCUGUAGGGGUGUUCUGGUGAUAGACCCCUACCGUAGAUGUGCACAGUGGCCCAGAAUUGACGGCUCUCACCGCUCAUGGGUCCCUGGUACACACCAUAUUCUGGGGGCUCCUCUAAUGCAAAGGCACGGUGGGUGAGGUUUGCUAGCACGGUCACAAAACCUCCAAGGUUUUUCACCGUGGUUUUAUUGGGCACGACGGGGCCAGACAUUAUGGCUCGGUUUGGGGAAGAGGCUGUGAUGUGUUGUGUUGAGGUUAGCGCGCCCUUUUUAUAGAAAAAGAGGACGAAGUCUUCCUUCGCACGCUUGCGAAUGAGACAAUUUAGGUGUCGGUCACUGGCGCGUGAUCGACGGGCUAGGCUGAUAGGUUGGUCACCGAUGGCCAAAAGGUGUCGGGUCCCUGUGGGGCUAUCUUACGCGAGAAGCUUGGCCGAGGUAAGUUUAUGGUCUGGUGGUCUGGUUAACCUAGGUUUAUUGACCUGGAUAAGAUAGGAUUAGCCAAUGGUCAGCCUGGCUCUGAUACCAAGUUUGUCAGGACCGGAUUUCGGGAUAUUAAUUUCCCAGAAAAUGGCCCUUGUGCUCACCAGCCCCAGGAUUACUGUUAGCUGGCGAGACACAAACUUGAUACAAUAACUCCAAGCAAAAUACAUAAUAUGUAGUACAAGACCAUUCUGGCCUAUGAGUACAACACAAGGUUUCUAGUGGUUGAUGGCGGAAGCGGUUCAUGGUCAUCGACGUUUGUGGAACUCCAUUUCCCACAGGAACAGCUGACCUGGAUAACUCCUAUCUUCGCGAGGCUGGUAUCACCAGCGCGUGGGUUCCGGGGCUGUCAGCGCAAUGCUCCUUUCCAUGCAAGAAAUCUGGCCAAGACAAUAGCCAGGGACAAGCUAGUGAGUACUUUUGAAUGUACUCGCAAACAUUAUGAGCUUAGGUAUAAUUAUUCAAAUGAUAAUCAUGCCCUAAAAUAUUCUAUGAUCACAACGUCAGUCACAGAAAUAAAAUCCAUGAUGCACACAAAAAAGUUAUUCACAUAACACAUGAAUAAUGCAAUUAGGGAGUAGAAAUAGAAUGCCUCAGUCGGGCAUCUGAACGACACCACAGGAAGGGCUCAUAAGUGAAAUAAGUAACAAACGUGCCGCAGUCGGGCGUCUAUGUGAUGCCACAUAAAGGGCUUAUAAAGUAAAUACAUAACAAGCAUGCCACAGUCGGGCAUCUCAGUGACACCACAUAAAGGGCUUAUAUGGUAAAUAAAUAACAAACAUGCCACAGUCGGGCGUCUGUGCGACAACACAUAAGGGGCUUAUAAAGUAAAUCAAUAAUAAACAUGCCACAGUUGGGCGUCUGUGCAACACCACAUAAAGGGCUUAUAACAGAAUAAUCACAAUGAAUAUCCAGGAGGUAGAACCGUCCCAGGGAUACUCAAAUAAUGAAGAUAGUUAGUCCACAAUAAUAAUAAUCAUAAUCAUCAUAUGUCACCGGUCAUAAUCAAUGUUCUGACUUAGUAGUUUUUCCUCUGAAGACCGACACUAAGACCGACACUUGACCCAACCCAGACUGUAGUCCUUAACCAUGGACACGGGUAUUCGAAUAGAUAUAAUCUCUGCAGAGGGUGUACUCUUUACCCACGAGUAACGGAUUCUGUUAGUCCAUCCGGACUAAUUCCGCCUACGGUCUUUUAAUUGAAAACACACCUAACCGCACACACCAGCCUGACUUAUCGGUGUCUGGAAUCACCCUGGCACCUGUUUAAGCAAAACUCUAAGUGGGGAGGCUACAACCUCGAUUAGCAUGGGAUCACAAAAUUUAUACCGCGCGCAAACUAGGGGAGCUACCGCUUCGGCUACAACCAAAAACACCCAUGCCCCCGGACUAGGUGGCCUGCCUACCGGAUGCCUCUGAUAUCUUCCACCAUUGCCUCUCUGUACGGUGUGUGCUAGAAAGGGGUUGACAACUUACUGAAUCGUACCCUACCUACGGCAGGGACAAGUGGUAGUACGAAACAAGUAUGGGGGUUACUGGAACAAGACUCGAUCUACGAUCGACUCAGGAGGUUUAAGUAUUCCCUACAUGAUUAGCAUAACCAAUAUAUUUCAACCAACAGACAGAAUCACCACUCAACAUACCUCAUCAUGCCGUACCAGACACAACCGUCUCGACGGAGGACUAGAGACAAGCCCGUGUCUACCCAAGACAGAGGCUUUCCCGGGUCCCUUCCGGCAUGCAUGAAAGGUAUAUGCUGGUGACUACAAUCCCAAACAUAUCAAACUCCAAUAGCGUGAAAUCAUCAAUAUGCACUCAUGAGUUUGAACAUAUCACCACAUAAAAUAACGGAUACUCCGUGUCGAGGUGGUAUUGUAACCGUGUCAGAUAACACACACAAUAUUAUGCCAGGGUUCAGAAUGCUUGCCUUCAAGUUGUGGGGAGGCAGGGUGCAUUCCAAAACUUGUGAAAGUUUUCUCCUCUCUCCAAAAAUCCUAUUUAAAAAUUUGAAU
Molecule: long non-coding RNA, 7824 nt
Filed under: Triticum aestivum (bread wheat)
Lineage: Eukaryota; Viridiplantae; Streptophyta; Magnoliopsida; Poales; Poaceae
Description: long non-coding RNA (TAES_LNC006970)
Source: RNAcentral